UCGCGCUAGGUGGGGAGUUAGCGGUUCCCUGAACCCGACAUCCGCUCCAGCGGGACCGAACGCCGUCCGAGGGCGGCUUCAACGGGAUCAGGUCUCGCGCACGUGGUGUCGAUGGUCAGGUUCCGCGCACUGGGAGCAUCCGAACCGCGUCAGGUCCGGAAGGAAGCAGCGCUAAGGAUUCCCUCCCAGGUGCCGCGGCUCCGCCUGACCGGAGCAGGCGACGCGAUCACCCCCCGAGGAAGCUUCUCGACGACAGGCCCGCGCGA
Molecule: signal recognition particle RNA, 266 nt
Filed under: Gaiellaceae bacterium
Lineage: Bacteria; Bacillati; Actinomycetota; Thermoleophilia; Gaiellales; Gaiellaceae
Also listed under: 1 other name
Description: signal recognition particle sRNA large type
Rfam family: Bacterial large signal recognition particle RNA
About the family: The signal recognition particle (SRP) is a universally conserved ribonucleoprotein involved in the co-translational targeting of proteins to membranes. Archaeal SRP consists of a 7S RNA and homologues of the eukaryotic SRP19 and SRP54 proteins.
Source: RNAcentral